RNAcentral lists this ribosomal RNA (253 nucleotides) under uncultured bacterium. RNAcentral's name for it is "partial 16S ribosomal RNA". It matches the Rfam family "Bacterial small subunit ribosomal RNA", at positions 524 to 776 of the family's 1533-position model. The record is from RNAcentral.
UACGUAGGGGGCUAGCGUUGCUCGGAAUUACUGGGCGUAAAGCGCGCGUAGGCGGCUUUCUAAGUCGGGGGUGAAAUCCUGGAGCUCAACUCCAGAACUGCCUUCGAUACUGGAGAGCUUGAGUCCGGGAGAGGUGAGUGGAACUGCGAGUGUAGAGGUGAAAUUCGUAGAUAUUCGCAAGAACACCAGUGGCGAAGGCGGCUCACUGGCCCGGUACUGACGCUGAGGUGCGAAAGCGUGGGGAGCAAACAGG